Molecule: long non-coding RNA, 644 nt
Filed under: Gallus gallus (chicken)
Lineage: Eukaryota; Metazoa; Chordata; Aves; Galliformes; Phasianidae
Description: long non-coding RNA NONGGAT007862
Source: RNAcentral
CCUGGGCCGGGCGGGAGUGAGACACAUCGGCUGAGGAGCAGCCAAAUUCAGAAACACCAGGAACACAGAUGAGAACGACAGUGAUUUUCCCCACAUCCAUUUGGCUGGCAGCGAAGAGGAGCGAUCCCAUGACUGUACAGCACAGACCAAAACCAGCAUGAAGCAUUUCCGUUCUCAAUUCUACAAAAAGUCCUUUGUCACUUUGGGAAAGUUCCUUUAACAUCGUUUCAUAUCACACUAGUUCCCUCUGAAAGCUGCUGCUAGAGAAAGUUUUGCAGGCUGAAGUCAGAUUUGGACUAGUUUAAUGCACGAUGCUGAGUCUACAUGCAUACCAACCUGAGUAAUUGUGUUGCAAGACAACUGACACUAGGAUUUAUUCUAGGUAGUAUUUUAUUUGGGACGGGGUGCAGCCCAAAUGGUAGAGGAAAAAGACCAGAAAACUGCCACGAUCAUUUAGUCUGGUAAAAGAUACAACUCAUUGCUCAAAAACAAAAUGAAGUCCAGUCUUAUUCCAGUGCUAUGGUGUCCCGUAGGUAUAGGCAAGUAGCUGGAAUGGUUAAUUGUGCCCCUAUCCCCCAUUAUGAGGUACCUUAUUUCCCACUUGACCUAUGUUUUGAAUGGCGUCCCAUUUCAGCUCGCAGGCA